Molecule: non-coding RNA, 414 nt
Filed under: Pan troglodytes (chimpanzee)
Lineage: Eukaryota; Metazoa; Chordata; Mammalia; Primates; Hominidae
Source: RNAcentral
GUGUCACUGUGAGCUGUGUCGCUGCCUUAAGAGAUAUCUGUUGUGUCUUAUUACUUGGUUGCUUUUCCCCACAUGUACAAUGACAAAAAUGCCUUCAACCUAUUUGAUCCAGCCAUUCCAGUACAACUCCUAUACUUGCCAUCUUUCCAAGCCCAAAGCUAUAGUUCCUCAUGGUCCUGCACUCCAUGGACUAAAUUGAGGGCUCUGAGAGAUUUCAUUUCUGUCCUGCUGAUGAAGUCUACUUUCAUUCAGGGCCUGCUGUGGAAGACCAGCCCCCAAAGUUGCUGAACAGAAGACUUUUGAGAGUCAGCAGAAAUCUUCCACUUUGCAUGGUUCUCUUGAUGUGAAAUCAUCUAUAUAGCCCCAGAAUUGGAAAAGAAAAAAAAUAAAAAAAUAGAAGGAAACUGGAUUCGA